Molecule: ribosomal RNA, 496 nt
Filed under: uncultured bacterium
Lineage: Bacteria
Description: partial 16S ribosomal RNA
Rfam family: Bacterial small subunit ribosomal RNA
Source: RNAcentral
GAUGAACGCUGGCGGCGUGCCUAAUACAUGCCAGUCGAGCGAACAGACGAGGAGCUUGCUCCUCUGACGUUAGCGGCGGACGGGUGAGUAACACGUGGAUAACCUACCUAUAAGACUGGGAUAACUUCGGGAAACCGGAGCUAAUACCGGAUAAUAUAUUGAACCGCAUGGUUCAAUAGUGAAAGACGGUUUUGCUGUCACUUAUAGAUGGAUCCGCGCCGCAUUAGCUAGUUGGUAAGGUAACGGCUACCAAGGCAACGAUGCGUAGCCGACCUGAGAGGGUGAUCGGCCACACUGGAACUGAGACACGGUCCAGACUCCUACGGGAGGCAGCAGUAGGGAAUCUUCCGCAAUGGGCGAAAGCCUGACGGAGCAACGCCGCGUGAGUGAUGAAGGUCUUCGGAUCGUAAAACUCUGUUAUUAGGGAAGAACAAAUGUGUAAGUAACUAUGCACGUCUUGACGGUACCUAAUCAGAAAGCCACGGCUAACUACGUG